Long non-coding RNA from Peromyscus californicus insignis, 4510 nucleotides. RefSeq lists it as uncharacterized. The transcript has 3 exons. Lineage: Eukaryota; Metazoa; Chordata; Mammalia; Rodentia; Cricetidae. The record is from RefSeq and is a predicted model, not a curated record.
GCAGGCAACUACAGAAGCGUACUACCGCAACAGGGAUCUGGCUAAGAAGUUUCUGAUCUUUAUUGCCCUCACUGUUCGGUUUUGAGGUGACUAUUUAGGAGUUGUUGCUGCCGGGCAGCUGAACUGGAGGCCCCGCAGGGUCCUCCGCUGGUAGGGAUCUUGCCUCUAAGGUUUGAGUUGUGGCUUCACUUCCGCCGGUAUCCUUCCACCGCCGAGUCCUGAGACCUCAGCCAGCUCUCGCUGAGUCACAUUCCUGUGGCUAAGCUAGGCUCUUCUUGUGGAACGAGAAGGCGGGGGCCACCGGGAACCCAGUCACGCAGAGAUCUCGGGCUCCCUAUUGCCUGGCCCUCGCUACCAAACCCUCCUCUGCUCCUCACCAGCCCGGUGCAGAGCUGUAGACCGAACUUUCCCGAGUGGACACGGGACUGAAAUGUGAACGCGGACCUUGUGGCCACGACUCCACUUGGGAGGUUCAGCUUCCAUGUCUGGGACGCUACAGGCGCCUGGGUGGUUCGUGUCACAGAGGAGGGUUCCAUAGUGUCCUGCAGGAUCUGUAACGCCAGCCAUGAGGAAAGAGCCUAGCCGCUUCCUGUGUCCCAGCGCUAAAGAGACAAAAUACCAUGACCAAAAGCAACUUAAGAAAGUUUCUUUCAGCUUAUAGUUGCAGAGGGAUAAAGUCCAUCAUAGUGAGGAAGGCAUGAAAUGGCAGCAGGAACUGAAAACAGAGAUCAUAUUUCAUCUGCACACAGAAAAUAGAGGAUAAAGCUUCCCAGAAGCAUAUCAGGAUGGUGAGUGUGACAGACUCAGAUCUGAUGCAAGCAGAAAAAUCUCUUCUACCUGUUCUCUUCAUACCCAUGGUGCUUUCCCCAGAGACCCCCCUCUCUCCUGGUAGGAGGUCAGAGCCGAUUCAAUCAAUGCAAAAAUUGAUUUUAUCACACACACACACACACACACACACACACACACACACACACACACACACACACGGGGGUUCCCAUGCCCUCUACUUUUACCAGUAACGAAUGGAUCCCAUCCAUCCUAUAGUAACGACUGUUGGUUGGACAGGGAUUUAACAUCUGGGAACCUGUCUGAGUCAACUUGAGUAAAACGCACACACACACACAAAAAAAUUUGCACAGACUUCUGAGACAGAAAACUAAACAAAUGCUGUCUGGGAACUAAGUGUCCACAUCCAUCACUGAGAAACCAGAGAUGCGGGUCAGUCUAGGGCCUGUUCUCUCCCCCUCGGCACUCCUAGUUCACAUUGUUCCAUGCUGUCCUGUCACCAUGUUUUGUUUAUUUCUGCUUCUUCUGACCAUAACUGUUGUCAAAGCCUCACUGUUGGCUGCUGCAGGCAUUUCCCAAGGGAAAGGGUUUAGUCCCCAGUAAGAAGACAUUUCCAUAGGCAUGAAGUUUGAGUGGGAAGAAGAAUCAGGCAUGUACACUUUCAGGAAUCUAAAAUAAGUCAGAUUUUUUUUUUAAGUAAGGCUGUUCCACCUUGCCAUCUGUCCCUCUCACAUGUCUCCCAUAUUGUGAUGUGACCAGAGAAUCCCAGCAGAGCCAAAAAAAAAAAAAAAAAUGGUGACACUCAUCUUGCAGGUUCAGCCGUCAGAGUGGAUCUCAACAAACUCCUGUUUUUUCUAAAGUGUCCAGCCUCUGGUGAUUUGUGUGCCGCAGGAAAACAGACUAAGACCUCAAAAGGGUUCAUCUCACAACCCAGACCCAGGACAAGGCAGAUAUCUUUGUCAGGGGCAGUUUGUCUCCACCACAGAACAAUGUCUGUUCUGGCGAGAAAAUGUUCAUGGCGAGAAUGUUGUUUCCUUAGUAACAACCACAGACAUAGUGUCAUAAAAUGGCCAUGUUAUCAUUUUUAUAGGCUCUUUGUACUAGAGGACAUAAUAAGACCUGUCUCAAACAAACAUACAACUACCAAAUUAAACAAGGCUUGACACCCAUGUUGCAUCUCUGCCACAUUAUUACUGGCAGCUCCCUGGGAGAUACUUGAGGUCUAGAGAUGGCUCUACAGCUAAAGCACUUGCUGUAUAAGCAAUAGUACCAGAGUCAGAUCCCCAGACCCCAAGUAAAUGCCAGGUAGGCAUGGUACCCCACCUGUAAUUCCAGUCUUGAAAAUCAGAGAUGGGGACCCCAUAAUCAAGCUGGCUAACAAGACCUGCCUCAGUGAAUGAGGUAGAAAGCAAAGGAAGGUAAUUCCUAACAUCAAACUCAGCCUCCUCAUAUGCACAUGCACACCCACCUGCAUCCAGGUGCUCGCACAAACAAGCAGACAUGCAUACGCAGACAGCAGACAUCUGCAUCACUUACAUGUAAAAAAGGUGGGGGCAGCGAGAAAAGAAUGCCUAAAGGCUGGAAUGACUCAAUGGCAAAGAGCCAAAACCACCUGAAACUUCCAUGGCACAAAAAUAUGGCCCCCCAGGGCAGAGUGAAGCAAUGCUCAGUGCAGCUGCAGAUAGAUAAGAACAGAUAUUUGCCGGGCGGUGGUGGCUCACGCCUUUAAUCCCAGCACUCGGGAGGCAGAGGCAGGCGGAUCUCUGUGAGUUCGAGGCCAGCCUGGUCUACAAAGCGAGUUCUAGGAAAGGCGCAAAGCUCCACAGAGAAACCCUGUCUCAAACAAACAAAACAAAACAAAAAAGGACAGAUACUCUUGGUCCCUCCCUGUAACUACUGCAAAUGACUAAAUAGGGUCUGAGUGGGGGAAUUUUAGAAGGGGCCAUCCAGGGGACACAGUCAAAGACACAAAGACAGGAGUGGCAAGAUCACAGUCUAGAGGAAAUGGGAGAUCUUAACAUUAUUGUAAUCUUUGUAAGCUAUAGUGGGCACACUGAGAUGUCAGGGAUCCGCUUUCCUGGGCUUAUAAGCCAUGGGCUUGCUCAUGAUGGCUCUGAAUCUUUAACACACAUUUCCAUCAGAUUGUGCUUCCCACGCAAGGUUCUGUUCACAGCUGUGGGAAAUCGCUUCUCACUGACUCUGAGGCUACAUCUAUCAUUUCCAUAACAAGAGGAGAAACAAACCUUUUUUUAUCAUCCUCUGAGAAUGCCACACCCUCAGAGCCUAUGUGAGAAAGAAGGACCUUCGUCUGUGUACUUAUUACAGUGGACACCUUACAUGUAUCACUGUGACCUAUAUUGCCAGAACUACUGACAUUCUAUCACCAACACAAACCUUUGACUGUGUUUGACUCACUUUGUCCAAGGCUCAAUCCAAUUUGCAAGGCUCUGCAUUGAUCUUCACACCAAAGCUGAGACUGAUUAGUCACAGCAAAAAUGAUGUAUUAAAGAAAAUAAGUCAGCUGUGUGAAGAAAAGAGUCACCGUGUGUCCUGUACAAAAGGUACCCAGGUACAAAGGCACAAUGUAGUUUGUUCGACUUGUGAAAAAACACAAAGUGGGAGCUCUGGUCUAUUCACCUGGAGACCUGCAACCAUGGGGUCUUCUCCAUAUCCUGAGGUUCCCAUGUAUAAAAAAUGAAGAGACAACACAGUACUAUAAAGCAAUGAUUUGUUUGAAUUGUCACUUUAUAAUAAAUUGGAAUGAUAUUUUGCUCCUGUUUAAGGAUUUAAGUUAUGUGCUGAAAGCCAGGUGGUGGUGGUGCACACCUUUAAUCCUGGCAUUUGGGAGGCAGAGACAGGUGAAUCUCUGAGUUCAAGGCCAAUCUGGUCUACAGCAUGAGUUCCAGGACAGCCAGGGCUACAUAGAUAAAUGCUGCCUUGAAAAACCACACACACACAUAAAAAUGUAAGUUAUGAAUUAUGUAUUAGAGAACAAUUAGAUAGAAACAGGAAACUAUCAAGCAGGAUGGCCUGUGUCUCACCUGUUGGACUCUCUCUUGAAUGGAGAUCAUGGCCUCAUUUGAGGAAACUUCUAAGGUUGUGGGUCUGAGCCAAUGACACUCCAUCAGCUAUGACAGGUCACUCUGAUGUUUGGAAACAUCAUCUGGGGAAAUUAUCAAACCCAGGACCACCUUCAAGGACCACCUGGCUUCAAAUCACAUCUCAGAACUGUCCUUGUGAAAAGGAGUGUGGGAGGGACCCUGAAGAAAGGUUAGGCAUCCUGAAAAUCUCCCCUAAAUGCACCCCACUGUCACAUCCCAACCUGUGCUAUCUACUUGAAGCCACCAGGCACAUCUGACCAUUUGUACUGGCUGAUUUUGUUUGUCAACUUGACACAAGCUAGAGUCAUCAGAGAGGAAGGAGCCUCAGUUGAUGAGAAAUGCCUCAAUGACAUCCAGCUAUAAAGUAUUUUCUCAUUUAGUGAUAACUGAGUGAGGGUCAAGCCCAUGGUAGGUGGUGUCAUCCCUGGGCAGGUGGUGCUGGGUUCUAUAAGAAGGUGGCUGAUUGGGCCAGAGGACGCAAGCCAGUAAGCAGUUCCUCUCCAUGGCCUCUGCAUCAGCUCCUGCUUCUGGGAUCCUGCCCUUUUUGGAGUUCUUGUCCUGACUUCCUUCAGUGACCAACAACAAUGCUGAAGUAUAAGCCUAAUAAACCCUUUCCUCCCCAA